GAUGAACGCUGGCGGCGUGCCUAAUACAUGCAAGUCGAGCGAACAGACGAGGAGCUUGCUCCUCUGACGUUAGCGGCGGACGUGUGAGUAACACGUGGAUAACCUACCUAUAAGACUGGGAUAACUUCGGGAAACCGGAGCUAAUACCGGAUAAUAUAUUGAACCGCAUGGUUCAAUAGUGAAAGACGGUUUUGAUGUCACUUAUAGAUGGAUCCGCGCCGCAUUAUCUAGUUGGUAAGGUAACGGCUUACCAAGGCAACGAAGCGUAGCCGACCGGAGAGGGUGAUCGGCCACACUGGAACUGAGACACGGUCCAGACUCCUACGGGAGGCAGCAGUAGGGAAUCUUCCGCAAUGGGCGAAAGCUUGACGGAGCCACGGCGCGUGAGUGAUGAAGGUCUUCGGAUCGUAAAAAUCUGUUAUUAGGGAAGAACAAAUGUGUAAGUAACUAUGCACGUCUUGACGGCACCUAAUCAGAAAGCCACGGCUAACUACGUG
This 497-nucleotide ribosomal RNA is filed under the name uncultured bacterium. RNAcentral describes it as "partial 16S ribosomal RNA". It matches the Rfam family "Bacterial small subunit ribosomal RNA", at positions 28 to 507 of the family's 1533-position model. The record is from RNAcentral.